Molecule: long non-coding RNA, 167 nt
Organism: Saccostrea cuccullata (small rock oyster)
Lineage: Eukaryota; Metazoa; Mollusca; Bivalvia; Ostreida; Ostreidae
Exons: 3
Source: RefSeq, a predicted model, not a curated record
AGAUGACUCUACUUCAGCACUCUUGAUGGAUCUUGGCUUGGGUGAAAAAGAAUUAGAGGAAGUAAAUGAGGUGGAAUUGUUGGAGGAAUACCUAUCAACCACCAAAAUUAUGAAAGAAUUGGAGCAGACAUUGAAAAGAAAGACAGAACUGGCUGAAAAAAUUCAAG